CCUACGGGAGGCAGCAGUGAGGAAUAUUGGUCAAUGGGCGGGAGGCUGAACCAGCCAAGCCGCGUGAAGGAAGAAGGCGCCAAGCGUCGUAAACUUCUUUUGUCGGGGAACAAAGGGCGCCACGUGUGCCGUUUUGAGUGUACCCGAAGAAAAAGCAUCGGCUAACUCCGUGCCAGCAGCCGCGGUAAUACGGAGGAUGCGAGCGUUAUCCGGAUUUAUUGGGUUUAAAGGGUGCGUAGGCGGUCCGGAAAGUCAGCGGUAAAAGACCGGGGCUCAACCCCUGCGAGCCGUUGAAACUGUGUGACUAGAGAGGGCGAGAAGUACGCGGAAUGCGCGGUGUAGCGGUGAAAUGCAUAGAUAUCGCGCAGAACUCCGAUUGCGAAGGCAGCGUACCGGCGCCGGACUGACGCUGAUGCACGAAAGCGUGGGUAUCGAACAGGAUUAGAUACCCUUGUAGUC
This 459-nucleotide ribosomal RNA is filed under the name uncultured bacterium. Its description in RNAcentral is "partial 16S ribosomal RNA". It matches the Rfam family "Bacterial small subunit ribosomal RNA", at positions 338 to 795 of the family's 1533-position model. The record is from RNAcentral.